UAGAGCAUUGAGAGGACCUUUCCCUAGUAUGAGAGGACCGGGAAGGAUGCACCUCUGGUGUACCAGUUAUCGUGCCCACAGUAGACGCUGGGUAGACAAGUGCAGAACGGAUAACUACUGAAAGCAUAUAAGUAGGAAGCCCACCCCAAGAUGAGUGCUCUCCUAUUCUUACUUCCUUGAGAUCCCUAGUCGCGAACAUGGCUGGGACAAUGAUGGGUUCUCUAUCCUUGCAGGGGAUGGAGCGACAAAAGUAUUGAUAAUCCAAGAUAAGGUCACGGUGAGACAAACCAUUUAUCAUUACGAUAGGUGUCAAGUGGAAGUGCAGUGAUGUAUGCAGCUGAGGCAUCCUAAUAGACCAAGAGAUUUGAACCU
Molecule: non-coding RNA, 372 nt
Organism: Picea glauca (white spruce)
Lineage: Eukaryota; Viridiplantae; Streptophyta; Pinopsida; Pinales; Pinaceae
Source: Rfam